This 497-nucleotide ribosomal RNA is filed under the name uncultured bacterium. Its description in RNAcentral is "partial 16S ribosomal RNA". It matches the Rfam family "Bacterial small subunit ribosomal RNA", at positions 28 to 507 of the family's 1533-position model. The record is from RNAcentral.
GAUGAACGCUGACGGCGUGCCUAAUACAUGCAAGUCGAGCGAACAGACGAGGAGCUUGCUCCUCUGACGUUAGCGGCGGACGGGUGAGUAACACGUGGAUAACCUACCUAUAAGACUGUGAUAACUUCGGGAAACCGGAGCUAAUACCGGAUAAUAUAUUGAACCGCAUGGUUCCAUAUUGAAAGACGGUUUUGCUGUCACUUAUAGAUGGAUCCGCGCCGCAUUAGCUAGUUGGUAAGGUAACGGCUUACCAAGGCAACGAUGCGUAGCCGACCUGAGAGGGUGAUCGGCCACACUGGAACUGAGACACGGUCCAGACUCCUACGGGAGGCAGCAGUAGGGAAUCUUCCGCAAGGGGCGAAAGCCUGACGGAGCAACGCCGCGUGAGUGAUGAAGGUCUUCGGAUCGUAAAACUCUGUUAUUAGGGAAGAACAAAUGUGUAAGUAACUAUGCACGUCUUGACGGUACCUAAUCAGAAAGCCACGGCUAACUACGUG